RNAcentral lists this non-coding RNA (517 nucleotides) under Pan troglodytes (chimpanzee). The record is from RNAcentral. Lineage: Eukaryota; Metazoa; Chordata; Mammalia; Primates; Hominidae.
GGCAUGGGGACGGGGGGAGUAGGAAAAGUGGCAUGAUGAGGAAAUGGAGGCACAGACUGAUUAGAAAACCAGCUCAAGGUCAUGUUGCUGCUCUCUCAUUCCUGUUGAGGGCUCUCUGGUGGAGCCUCUGUCUCACAGGUCACCUGCAGGCCAACACUCCCAGAAGCAGCUAGCACCAUGGUUGACCUCGUCCAGGUCCAGGGAAGGCCUCCCUCUCCAGGACUCCUUUAGAUUUCCCCAGCAUCCAGACCUCACCUGCCUAAGUGCUGUUGCCCUGGAAGCCACACAGUGAGCACGAGCUCCAUCUUGCCCCUUUACCAGCCAAUGGGGGUAAAGACAUUAGCUGGCCAUGUUCAAUCCCCUCAAGGGAAGCCUGAGACCACAGCUACUGCCUCGAAUCAGAAGCCCCAGCCUCAUCAUCUGGGGCCAGAGAACUAGGGCAGGAGGAGCCAAGUAGCACAGCAGGAAGCAUGAGUCCCUCCGAGGAGAAGCUGGUCUCUGAGAGGAGCACAAAAUG